Long non-coding RNA from Carassius gibelio (silver crucian carp), 1776 nucleotides. RefSeq lists it as uncharacterized. NCBI's taxonomy places the organism in Eukaryota, Metazoa, Chordata, Actinopteri, Cypriniformes, Cyprinidae. The transcript has 3 exons. The record is from RefSeq and is a predicted model, not a curated record.
GUUUAUAAAGUAUUUUUACAUACAAAUUAUAAUUCAAAAUGUGUUUUUUUUCCUGUCAGAAAAGCGCAUUGAUACAUUUGUGAGAGAAAAACUGGUCGAGUGCAGUCUUAUUGAGGCGUCUAACGGUUGGAACAAACAUGAAAUUCCUUAACUGAGCAGAGUCCACAAAACCCCAUCCAGUUGUCGUGGCGAUUUAAAAAUGCCAGCAGAUCUCUCAGGCAUUGAUCAUAAUCAAUGGACAGGUCACCGUAGCCACCCGUAUCCAGUACGUAUCCAGACCAGAUGGAGAUCAUCAUCUAGAAAGGACCUCUACAUCCCUGAAAGACAGCGGAGACCAGGACAACUAGAGCCCAGAUACAGAUCCCCUGUAAAGACCUUGUCUCAGAGGAGCACCAGGACAAGACCACAGGAAACAGAUGAUUCUUCUGCACAAUCUGACUUUGCUGCAGCCUGGAAUUGAACUACUGGUUUCGUCUGGUCAGAGGAGAACUGACCCCCCAACUGAGCCUGGUUUCUCCCAAGGUUUUUUUCUCCAUUCUGUCAACGAUGGAGUUUUUGUUCCUUGUUUUUCUUUAGUUGGGGACAAUUAAUAUCAAGCGAUAUCAUCCACUUGAUUGCACAGAGGGACGAUACAUCACUGAAUCAAUGACGAAUUGACUUUAACUGAAAACUGAGUGUUUACUUUUGUCCCUUUGCAUUAUUACACACUAUUUUCCUAUUCAAUACUGUAAAGCUGCUAUGAUGCAGUAUUUGAUCGAUAUGACAGGCUUAUUACUCAUAAUACAUGGAAAAUACAGCUACAAACUGACUUUGUUUUUCCAUUUGAAAUUUGGCAGUCACUAAACUGAAACCGUAAUUUUUGUUCAGUGUUUUUGAAACAGUGUUUUUGUUCAAGAUUUGCAAUUGUGUUUGGAUUGUCACAAUUUGUCACAUGUGGAAAACGCAAUUGAAAAUAUAAUUAGCAAUUCCUUUUGAAAAUUGUCCUUCCAUAGACAGGCUCUAUAAUGGAGUACACUGCUCUGAGGUGUAGAUCUUUGCUUCAGAGCUUAAGUGUUUGACAAUAGUUCACCCAAAAAUGAAAAUUGUCACUAAUUAUUCACCCUGGUCUGAAAGCUCUCGAAUAUCAACGAAAAUAUCUUAACUUGUGUUCUGAAGAUGAACGAAGGGCUUACGGGUUUGUAACGACAUGAAGUUGAGUAAUAAAUGACAGAAUUUUCAUUUUUGGGUGAACUAUAUGUUGAACUACCCUAAGCAGUGCACAUCUACCUACGUAGGAGUCUUUAUAUACUUGAUAUAAAUUUAAGGACAUCUUUAAAUGAUUUUACAUUUAAAUUUAAAAAUGUUAAUUGUUAAUGUCAUUUCACUGUGUAUUUAAAUAGCUAAAAAUCUCAAAAUGUAAUAGUUAAACAGCUAGACACAGGUCAUUCAGAAAUAAUUUUCUUAUUUAUUGCAACUGUAUUUCUGUGAUUUUUAUUUAUUUAUUUUGCAUUUGCUGGAAACAAAAAAAGGGAAAAUUCCAUGUUGUUUGUCAUUGGUAAAAAAUUUUUGAAUGUCAGAUGGCAUUAAAAAUAUUUUUUAACAGUCUAAAUAACCUGUAUUCUUCAUUAUUUAUUAAUCCAUGAUUGCUUUGUUAAGCAAAAGUGAAAUUAUGAGAAUAACCCAGCAAGAAUAACCCAGAAUCAUAAAAAUGCAAACCCACAAAUGGUAAAAAUGACUCUAUCUUGGGUUUUCUCAAUAACCCAGCAUGCUGGGUUAAAAUGUGUAAACCAGCAUGCU